RNAcentral lists this ribosomal RNA (273 nucleotides) under uncultured bacterium. RNAcentral describes it as "partial 16S ribosomal RNA". It matches the Rfam family "Bacterial small subunit ribosomal RNA", at positions 524 to 796 of the family's 1533-position model. The record is from RNAcentral.
UACGUAGGGUGCGAGCGUUGUCCGGAAUUACUGGGCGUAAAGAGCUCGUAGGCGGUUUGUCACGUCGUCUGUGAAAUCCUAGGGCUUAACCCUGGACGUGCAGGCGAUACGGGCUGACUUGAGUACUACAGGGGAGACUGGAAUUUCUGGUGUAGCGGUGGAAUGCACAGAUAUCAGGAAGAACACCGAUGGCGAAGGCAGGUCUCUGGGUAGUAACUGACGCUGAGGAGCGAAAGCAUGGGUAGCGAACAGGAUUAGAUACCCGUGUAGUCC